CUCCUUUGGCCCGGCCACGCCCGCGCCUUCCCCUCCCCCGCCUCCUUCCCCUCCCCUCCCUCGUGGCUCAGGCUGCCCGAGGCUGAGUCAUCGCCGCGGACGCUGCCCGGAGAGCUGGCGAGCAGGUGUUUUUGGAUUGACUGCUCAGUGCUAGGCACUGUGUUUGCUGCUGAGUGCUGGACAGAGAGGGGAACAAGGCUCAGCCCCUGCCCACAAGGAUCUCGCCAUGCACAACAAAUACACCAUCUGACCAGCUGUCCCACCUGCGGCCUGUGAGCAGCUGCAAGUUUACAGCUUUGACAUCCACUUGAAAGAACGCCAUGCCUGCUUCCACAGAUUUUAAGUUUACAGUUCAAUGAGUUUUGACAAACAUAAACCCCUAUGAAUUACAAGAUUUUGAUACACAGUCAGCUAAUUUAGAGAAAUUGCAAGAGUCCACAGAACUGUUGGAAAGAGUAUGGAGUUUGGAGUCAAGAGACCUGGUUACCAAGUCAAGCCUCACAUUAACCAGCUGUGUGACUUUGGGCCCGUGCCCUCGCCUCUCUAGGCCUUGGUUUCUGAUCUGUACAGUGAAGAGGCUGUCUCUGGGUCCACAUGGCAUAACAGGUAUUGAACAAAGGUCACACAAGAUUCCUGACAUUAUGCAGAGCUACUGUGUCCUGCUGAUAUUUGCAAAAGUGAAUGCGCAUCACCUGGAUCCCGCCAAUCAAAUUGCUGAAGAAGAGAAACUGAAGAAACAAUAAUUAUAACAAUAAACAAAGAUGGCAGAAAUCAGCCAAACCAAGCCCUACAUCUUGUAAGAAUGUACCAAAUGCUUGUA
Molecule: long non-coding RNA, 820 nt
Organism: Balaenoptera acutorostrata (minke whale)
Lineage: Eukaryota; Metazoa; Chordata; Mammalia; Artiodactyla; Balaenopteridae
Exons: 3
Source: RefSeq, a predicted model, not a curated record